This 206-nucleotide ribosomal RNA is filed under the name uncultured bacterium. RNAcentral describes it as "partial 16S ribosomal RNA". It matches the Rfam family "Bacterial small subunit ribosomal RNA", at positions 568 to 773 of the family's 1533-position model. The record is from RNAcentral.
AGCGCAGGCGGGAAGGCAAGUUGGAAGUGAAAUCUAUGGGCUCAACCCAUAAACUGCUUUCAAAACUGUUUUUCUUGAGUAGUGCAGAGGUAGGCGGAAUUCCCGGUGUAGCGGUGGAAUGCGUAGAUAUCGGGAGGAACACCAGUGGCGAAGGCGGCCUACUGGGCACCAACUGACGCUGAGGCUCGAAAGCAGGGUAAGCAACG